CCUACGGGGGGCUGCAGUGAGGAAUAUUGGUCAAUGGCCGGGAGGCUGAACCAGCCAAGUCGCGUGAGGGAAGACGGCCCUACGGGUUGUAAACCUCUUUUGUCAGGGAGCAAGGUGCAGGUCGGGACCUGCUGUGAGAGUACCUGAAGAAAAAGCAUCGGCUAACUCCGUGCCAGCAGCCGCGGUAAUACGGAGGAUGCGAGCGUUAUCCGGAUUUAUUGGGUUUAAAGGGUGCGCAGGCGGAGGCACAAGUCAGCGGUAAAAUCGCGGGGCUCAACCCCGCUCCGCCGUUGAAACUGUGUCCCUGGAGUGCGCGGAAGGCAGGCGGAAUUCGUGGUGUAGCGGUGAAAUGCUUAGAUAUCACGAAGAACCCCGAUUGCGAAGGCAGCUUACCAAGCUAUAUCUGACGUUGAGGCACGAAAGCGUGGGGAGCAAACAGGAUUAGAUACCCCUGUAGUC
Molecule: ribosomal RNA, 459 nt
Filed under: uncultured bacterium
Lineage: Bacteria
Description: partial 16S ribosomal RNA
Rfam family: Bacterial small subunit ribosomal RNA
Source: RNAcentral